AUUGAACGCUGGCGGCAUGCUUUACACAUGCCAGUCGAACGGUAACAGGCCUUCGGGUGCUGACGAGUGGCGAACGGGUGAGUAAUGCAUCGGAACGUACCCAGAGGUGGGGGAUAACGCAGCGAAAGCUGUGCUAAUACCGCAUGUGAUCUGAGGAUGAAAGCGGGGGACCGAGCAGCAAUGUUUGGCCUCGCGCCUUUGGAGCGGCCGAUGUCGGAUUAGCUAGUUGGUGGGGUAAAGGCCUACCAAGGCGACGAUCCGUAGCUGGUCUGAGAGGACGACCAGCCAUACUGGGACUGAGACACGGCCCAGACUCCUACGGGAGGCAGCAGUGGGGAAUUUUGGACAAUGGGCGCAAGCCUGAUCCAGCAAUGCCGCGUGCGGGAAGAAGGCCUUCGGGUUGUAAACCGCUUUUGGCAGGAACGAAACGGUGUCCGCUAAUACCGGGCGCUAAUGACGGUACCUGCAGAAUAAGCACCGGCUAACUACGUG
This 492-nucleotide ribosomal RNA is filed under the name uncultured bacterium. Its description in RNAcentral is "partial 16S ribosomal RNA". It matches the Rfam family "Bacterial small subunit ribosomal RNA", at positions 30 to 507 of the family's 1533-position model. The record is from RNAcentral.